GAUGAACGCUGGCGGCGUGCCUAAUACAUGCAAGUCGAGCGAACAGAUAAGGAGCUUGCUCCUUUGACGUUAGCGGCGGACGGGUGAGUAACACGUGGAUAACCUACUUAUAAGACUGGGAUAACUUCGGGAAACCGGAGCUAAUACCGGAUAACAUAUUGAACCGCAUGGUUCAAUAGUGAAAGGCGGCUUUGCUGUCACUUAUAGAUGGAUCCGCGCUGUAUUAGCUAGUUGGUAAGGUAACGGCUUACCAAGGCAACGAUACGUAGCCGACCGGAGAGGGUGGUCGGCCACACUAGAACUGUGACACGGUCCAGACUCCUACGGGAGGCAGCGGUAGGGAAACGACCGCUGUGGGCGAAAGCCUGACGGAGCAACGCCACGUGGGUGAUAAAAAGCUUCGGAUCUUAAAACUCUGUUAUCAGUGAAGAACAAAAGUGUAAGGAACGGGGCACAUCAUGACAGUACCGGAUCAGAAAGCCACGGCUAACUACGUG
RNAcentral lists this ribosomal RNA (497 nucleotides) under uncultured bacterium. RNAcentral's name for it is "partial 16S ribosomal RNA". It matches the Rfam family "Bacterial small subunit ribosomal RNA", at positions 28 to 507 of the family's 1533-position model. The record is from RNAcentral.